AAUAGGCCUUUACAUGAUGUAUUAAGAAUCUUGUGGACCACACUCAGAACGCAAUGCUGGACAGUGAUCUUAUACAGGGCCUAUACAUACAUAAAUUCUGCCAUUAAAAAUGAAUUAAGGUAUAAAACUCAAUUUUUAGGAGAUCAUAAACCGAUUGGACUGAAUUAAAAGGGCUCGACAGCUGAAAAUAGACACCCAGUCCGAUGCACCAUUUACUUCUUCAAUGAAAAGAUGAUAGAGAAAGGAGCGGCUCAAGAAUUAACCUGGUGUUGACCAAGACAUCAUUGAAUACUGUCACCUAGCAGCUAGUCAGCGAUGAAUGGAGCAGAUUUUCAUCAGGAUGACGGUCAGGUAUAGAUGAGAGGAUUUUACUUGGAAGGCAUCCGUAUGUGGUUAUCUUGGUGAGAUGAGGUCCGACGUCAUCAUUGAACGACCAAUCCGAUUUCCCAUUUGAGAAGACACAGUUUUACCAUGAGAAGGAGAGGAAUGUGGAUAAUUGACUUGGGUUGACGAAUAUACCAAGCCGAUACCAUGAUUGUCAAGUUCACCCGAUGCAGUAUCAUUAUCAUGGUUAGGUGUGAUCAAAAAUCUAGUCGAUGGUCUUCUGUCGGCUCCAGCCCGAUAACCCAUACGUUACAAUCAUGAAGGAAAUGAAGUUAAAGUUCAAAUCAAUUUGAAUAAAUGAUAGAGGAAAAUCAAACCAGCAUAAUGCUAAAGAAUUCAGCAAUAUCGGAUGUAAAAUAAGAAAGUUAUGACAUUUGAAAAUGUCGCUUAUUCUGCGCAAAAACACACGCCUCACAGUGAUGUACAAACGAGAGAUUCGAUGCUGUCACACACUCACUUUCUUUUUAUAAUUUUUUUUUAUGAAUUACAUACAAUAUUUUCAAUUUUUGCAGAAUUGACCAGGAUGAAAAGAUUCAGUUGGUCAGAGCUUACAACAAUGCCCUUUUUACAUUUCACUUUAUAAUGAGGAGACAGAAUGGUAAAAUUCAGCGAUAUUUAAAAUAUAAGAGCUUCCUUAUUUUACAUCCAACUUGAUGAAAUUUUCAUCAUUAUGCAUUAGUGGUCUUUUGAGACUUUUAAAGGCAAUGUUUUUUAAAGUUUGGUUGCCCCUUCAUUGCAUUAUUUCAUUUCAAAAUCUCGCCACUGUUCUAAAAGUUUCACACCCUAGUUCUAAAACCACAUUUAUUUCAUCGGCACAUUUGGAGUUUAGAAAG
Molecule: long non-coding RNA, 1217 nt
Organism: Lytechinus variegatus (green sea urchin)
Lineage: Eukaryota; Metazoa; Echinodermata; Echinoidea; Temnopleuroida; Toxopneustidae
Exons: 2
Source: RefSeq, a predicted model, not a curated record